RNAcentral lists this long non-coding RNA (1148 nucleotides) under Accipiter nisus (Eurasian sparrowhawk). Its description in RNAcentral is "lncRNA (ENSANIG00000001311.1)". The record is from RNAcentral. Lineage: Eukaryota; Metazoa; Chordata; Aves; Accipitriformes; Accipitridae.
AGGAAGAAAAAACGCAUACCUAGUUGGGAAAACAGCACCGGCGUCAUUCAAAAGCCGCAACCCCACCUUGCAGCGGCUGGACGCGACCGGGAAGCCCCCUCUCCCGCGGCCGCCGGCAGAAGGCAGGGCGAGGACAAGGAGGAGAAGCUGCCGGGAGCCCCCAGACCCGCGACGGCUUGCAAGGCGCCUCCGCCCCGUCUCUCCCUGCGGACGCCCGGCCCGCCGAGGCGGGACGGGGACCGGGCACCGGCCGGAGCGGUCCGCGGGGGCUGGCAGCCGGCGGGGCGGCGACGGGCGAGCCUGAGAGGGGCCGGGCGGCGCCGGCGGGGCCUCUCGCCCCGCGCCCCGCCUCACGGGCCUCACGGGCCCCACAGCCUCCCUCCGCCGUCCCUCCCUCCCGCCCCAGCGCCUGCUGCUGCCUGCCGCGGGCCGGGGCGUCGCUCCGCUCCGCUGCCCUCCUCCUCCUCCUCCUCGUCCUCCUCCCUGCUCCGCCGGCGGGGCCGCCGCCAGCUGCGGGAGCGCGGGCGGCCUCACCUCCGCCGCCAUGAUGGGCGGCGCGGGAGCUGCCGGGAGCUUCCGCCGCCGCCGCCGCCGCCAUCUCCUCCUCCUCCUCCUCCUCCUCCUCCUCCUCCUCCUCUUCCUCGGCGCUGCCGGAGCGCGGGAGCCGGCUGUGUGCGCCCGGGUCAGAAGCGCGUCCUUCAGCCCGAGUACUGCCGUCCCCGCAGGCCGGCGGCGGAGGGAAAGUGAUUCCGAGCAAGGCACUGGCUGCUGAAAGAAAUGACACCGGAGUGGCUUCGUGGCUCCGAAAGCGCGGUCCCGCAACCCGGUGUGAGGCCACGCAGAAGCGCGUAAAGCUGCUGCAGAGGUUUCUUGCGGUUUUGUCCUGCCCGUGGCCGCGCAGUUUGACAUGAUUUUGACAGAGCAGGUACGUGAAGAGCAGGCAGUCUGGCCUUACGGUACAGCGACGAAAUCGCUGGGGCCAGCACAUCUGGCCCAGCGAAACUGCGUGGCUGGCACUCGCAGUGGCUUGUUUGCUCCUACCGUGCGUGGACUUACGGAGCUGAUGGACUCCCCGUUAAUCUUGUGUGGACUGUUCAUCUUCUGAGUUUUCUGACCGCUUGAUCAGACGAGCUAUAAUUUGAAAUGUC